RNAcentral lists this long non-coding RNA (491 nucleotides) under Brachypodium distachyon (stiff brome). Its description in RNAcentral is "long non-coding RNA (BDIS_LNC001878)". Lineage: Eukaryota; Viridiplantae; Streptophyta; Magnoliopsida; Poales; Poaceae. The record is from RNAcentral.
CUCAAUUUAAACAUCAAAGUACUAGACGACUGUCUGUACAUCUAUACCUUAACAAUUCAACUUAAAUCCUAACACAGUUUUGGAUUCUGGUCAUUUCAGAGUUUCCGGUAAACUAGAAGAUAUUCAUUGGAUUAAAAAAAUCUAUGGAAAUGAUAACCUGGGAAAAAAAUCAAACUAACUAUUGUGUGCAAGAAGGAUAAGAGAUAAAUAGAUUCCUCUAUUUUUCGUACAAAACAAACUGUCAUUUUUGCAUGAAUCUUUUGCACGUUCUUACUUUUUAGUAUUCCUUAUUUUAUUGAUGAAAAAAAAAGUUUUUCCUGAACUUCGAAGGAGCAAAACCACCCAAAAAAAAACCCGGUUAUGAUUUGAAGAGUCAGUUUUGUGUGCAAAUUCCAAUAGUUAUCAAUUUUUUCAUGAACGCGGAAAGGAGCCAUCGAGAAACUACUAGUUGGCGGAACCAUUUACCGGUAUUGAAAAGUCUACAACCGAGC